This 73-nucleotide transfer RNA is filed under the name uncultured Synechococcus sp. RNAcentral's name for it is "tRNA-Ala". It matches the Rfam family "tRNA". From Rfam's summary of the family: Transfer RNA (tRNA) molecules are approximately 80 nucleotides in length. Their secondary structure includes four short double-helical elements and three loops (D, anti-codon, and T loops). The record is from RNAcentral. Lineage: Bacteria; Bacillati; Cyanobacteriota; Cyanophyceae; Synechococcales; Synechococcaceae.
GGGGGUUUAGCUCAGUUGGUAGAGCGCCUGCUUUGCAUGCAGGAUGUCAGCGGUUCGAGUCCGCUAACCUCCA